UCUAGCCUCAGCUGAGAAUUCUUCAGAUCAGCCCUUAAGAAGAGAGAUGUAUCAGAAUUCAAUGAGGAAGACAGAAAUCAUGCCAGGAAGAUUUUCAUUUCUGUGAACUUGGAAGACUACCCAGUGAAGGGAGAAAGAAAAGACUGAGCAGAAAGGAGAUGGGAAAAUAUUUCCCAAGACAUCGUUUGUUGAUGCAUAACUAACACUCAAGUGCCAAAGAUUGUAACGGAGAAGGGGAAACAGGACAAGAGGAG
Molecule: long non-coding RNA, 254 nt
Organism: Symphalangus syndactylus (siamang)
Lineage: Eukaryota; Metazoa; Chordata; Mammalia; Primates; Hylobatidae
Source: RefSeq, a predicted model, not a curated record